GUUUAACGGUAACAGGAUGUGCUUGCACAUCGCUGACGAGUGGCGGACGGGUGAGUAAUGCUUAGGGAUCUGCCUCUGUGUGGGGGAUAACUAUUGGAAACGAUAGCUAAUACCGCAUAAUGUUUACGGACCAAAGGGGGCGUUUGCUCCCGCGCAGAGAGGAACCUAAGUGAGAUUAGCUACGUUGGUAAGGUAAUGGCUUACCAAGGCGACGAUCUCUAGCUGUUCUGAGAGGAAGAUCAGCCACACUGGGACUGAGACACGGCCCAGACUCCUACGGGAGGCAGCAGUGGGGAAUAUUGCACAAUGGGGGGAACCCUGAUGCAGCCAUGCCGCGUGUGUGAAGAAGGCCUUCGGGUUGUAAAGCACUUUCAGUUGUGAGGAAAGGUUAGUAGUUAAUACCUGCUAGCUGUGACGUUAGCAACAGAAGAAGCACCGGCUAACUCCGUGCCAGCAGCCGCGGUAAUACGGAGGGUGCGAGCGUUAAUCGGAAUUACUGGGCGUAAAGCGCACGCAGGCGGUUUGUUAAGCUAGAUGUGAAAGCCC
This 546-nucleotide ribosomal RNA is filed under the name uncultured Gammaproteobacteria bacterium. Its description in RNAcentral is "bacterial SSU rRNA". It matches the Rfam family "Bacterial small subunit ribosomal RNA", at positions 61 to 603 of the family's 1533-position model. The record is from RNAcentral. Lineage: Bacteria; Pseudomonadati; Pseudomonadota; Gammaproteobacteria.